UACGUAGGGGGCAAGCGUUGUCCGGAAUUAUUGGGCGUAAAGAGCGCGUAGGCGGUCCGAUAAGUCGGCUGUGAAAGUCAAGGGCUCAACCCUUGAAUGCCGGUGGAAACUGUCGGGCUUGAGUUCGGAAGAGGCGAGUGGAAUUCCUGGUGUAGCGGUGAAAUGCGCAGAUAUCAGGAGGAACACCAAUGGCGAAGGCAGCUCGCUGGGACGACACUGACGCUGAGACGCGAAAGCGUGGGGAGCAAACAGG
This 253-nucleotide ribosomal RNA is filed under the name uncultured bacterium. Its description in RNAcentral is "partial 16S ribosomal RNA". It matches the Rfam family "Bacterial small subunit ribosomal RNA", at positions 524 to 776 of the family's 1533-position model. The record is from RNAcentral.